UUGCCUACGGGGGGCUGCAGUGGGGAAUAUUGGACAAUGGGCGAAAGCCUGAUCCAGCAAUGCCGCGUGAGUGAUGAAGGCCUUAGGGUUGUAAAGCUCUUUUACCCGGGAUGAUAAUGACAGUACCGGGAGAAUAAGCUCCGGCUAACUCCGUGCCAGCAGCCGCGGUAAUACGGAGGGAGCUAGCGUUGUUCGGAAUUACUGGGCGUAAAGCGCACGUAGGCGGCUUUGUAAGUUAGAGGUGAAAGCCUGGAGCUCAACUCCAGAAUUGCCUUUAAGACUGCAUCGCUUGAAUCCGGGAGAGGUGAGUGGAAUUCCGAGUGUAGAGGUGAAAUUCGUAGAUAUUCGGAAGAACACCAGUGGCGAAGGCGGCUCACUGGACCGGUAUUGACGCUGAGGUGCGAAAGCGUGGGGAGCAAACAGGAUUAGAUACCCCAGUAGUCACG
RNAcentral lists this ribosomal RNA (446 nucleotides) under uncultured Sphingomonas sp. Its description in RNAcentral is "bacterial SSU rRNA". It matches the Rfam family "Bacterial small subunit ribosomal RNA", at positions 335 to 799 of the family's 1533-position model. Lineage: Bacteria; Pseudomonadati; Pseudomonadota; Alphaproteobacteria; Sphingomonadales; Sphingomonadaceae. The record is from RNAcentral.